UAUCAGCCUGGUCCCCAACGGGGCCCUGAUCUCCGUCGCCGCUGCAGCACAUCGGCCAGCGCCCCUACUCCCGGCGAGGAUGCUUCCUCCGUCUCCGUCUCCAAAUCUACUAUACCACGGGACUGAAUCCCCAACCCGGGCGCAGAUCCGCGUUCACGCGGGGAAGAGAGGCACUUGGGUGCUCCCCGGUCAAAGAAAGAGACAACUCCGGCGAAUCUUUCUUCCCCGCUGGCGCUCACACUCGGCCACAUCCACUCCACACCUCGUCGCCGUCUACGUCGCCGUCGGCACUUAUUGGGCCGCGAGUCUGCAACCACUCGAUUCAGAGAACAAAAAGAAGAAUCUGCCCCCCUUCUCCAUUGUGCCUAUCUCUUCUUCCCGGCAAGCGUCGUGUCCUCCUUGCUUACCGGUCACCGGCGGCAACGGGGUCCCUUGCAGACGGUGUUGGUACUUGAUACAGUGUUAUCUGUAUCCCCGUAAGAUCCGCCCGGGGAAGGACAGCAAUGGCGGCAGCGGCAGCCGUCGUCGGGGGCAUGGUUGCCUCGGGUGUCAUCAAGGUGGUGAUAAAACAGAUCGGCUCCGCCAUCGGCGGCAAGAUCAAGCUGCACAAGAACCUGAAGAGAGACCUGCAGAAGAUGCAGAUGACGCUGGAGUCGGUGGAGGCCGCGCUCAGCGACGCCGAGAGGCGGUCCAUCACCGACAGCUCGGCGCUGCUGUGGGUGAACCGGCUCAAGGCCGCCAUGUAUGACAUCUCCGACAUGCUCGACGACUUCCAAUCUGACACCCAGUCCCUGUUCGGAGCUAUGAGGAAGAGGAUCAGUAUGCCAGACAAGAUGAAAAAGAUGCAAAAGUGUCUACAGAAGAUAACAGAAGACCAUCAGAACUAUCGUCUAACGCCAGAAACUUGCACCAAUGAGCAGCAACUUCCUGAUAUCCGGGAAAAUGCAGGGACUAUGGUGGAAGCAGAAAUCAUCGGGAGGGCCGAGGAAAAACUGGAAAUCUUGGCUCGAUUGUCUGGGAGCGCCAGUGAACAUACCACCUUUGUUCCCAUAUGGGGCUUUGGAGGCAUUGGAAAGUCCACCUUGGCAAGAUCGGUUUACAAUCAUCCUGAGUUUGAGAAACACUCUCGGGUAUGGAUCUAUGUUUCCCAGAUAUUUGACUUGAAAAAAAUUGGCAACACUAUAAUAUCACAACUAUCAAGACAACAGAGCCAGCAGAUACUUGAUCUGCACAGUAUUAACAUUCGCCUGCAAGAGCUACUUGCUGAGAAGAAGAAUGCUCUGAUCAUUUUGGAUGACCUGUGGGAGAAGCGUCCUUCUCAACUAGAAGAAUUAAAGUCUAUGCUGAAGCAGGGUAAGGGGUGCAAGGUGAUGGUUGUAGUUACCACACGUGAUGAAGGCAUUGCAAAUGAGAUCUCCACUGUUCAGCCUUACAACUUACCUCAAUUGUCAGAUGAGAUGUGCUGGGAAAUAAUGAGGCAAAAAAGUAAAUUUGAAACAAGAGAUGACAAAGAAUGGCUGGAGCCAAUUGGAAAGGAUAUUGCAAAGAAGUGCAAAGGUGUAGCUUUAGCUGCUCAAUCACUUGGACACAUUUUGAAGUCCAAGUCUUAUGGAGAAUGGAAUUCGGUCAGAACCAAUCAUAUCUGGAAUCUAUCUACUUCUACAGAUGCAUCAUCUGGACAUGAAGUGCUUGGAUCCUUGCUGUUAAGCUACAACCUCAUGCCUCCAUACUUAAAGUUAUUCUUUGCUUAUUGUGCAAUCCUUCCAAAGGGUCGCAAGAUGAAUAAAUAUAAGCUAAUCCAUCAAUGGAUUGCUCUUGGAUUCAUGGAGCCAUCUAGUAUAUUCUCUAAUUGGCAACUCGGUGAAAGUUACAUUAUGCAGCUUCUGGAGAUGUCAAUUCUUCGACAUUCAAAGGCUGUCGUUGAAUGUUACGACACAAACAAGAUUGUCACACUGUUCACAAUGCAUGACCUGGUGCAUGACCUCGCAAGGUCAGUCAUGGCUGACGAAUUUAACUUGACGGGCCCCAACUGCCGCUAUGCAUGGAACAUAGAUUGCACGAAGCCACUAAAGUCAUCCACGACUUCACCUGAAAAGUUAAGGGCGCUGAAUAUUGUGCGCGCAGCUGGAACCUCAUGGUCUAAGUUCCAUCAUGAUGCAAUUGCACCAGCAAAGUACGUCCGUGUCUUGCAUGCAUCAGUCAAAUCGAAUAGGUUGUUCACUUCUAUUGGUCAAUUGAAGCAGUUGAGGUAUCUUCAUGCUCCAAAUAUCCAGGGUCGAGUGGAUCUCGGGUGUAUCGGUAUGCUUCGAAAAUUGAAUUAUCUCAACCUUAGUAAUUGUGAGGAAUUGUCAGCAUUGCUAGAGUCAAUUGGUGAAAUGGAAGGUCUGAUGUAGAUUAACUUAUCAGGUUGUCCGAAUCUGAAAGAACUCCCACAUUCGUUUGCGAAUCUCAAAGAGUUGGUAUAUCUGAACUUAUCAGAGAGUGAUAAUGUUUUAGGACUACACGAAGCUUUGGCUAACCUUUCCAAACUCCAACAUUUAGAAUUAACAGCAUGUGAAAAUCUCAGAGGACGUCCAGAAGUCAUCAGCAAUCUCACCGAACUCCGCAAUCUGAAGCUAUCAGGGUGCAUGCAUCAUAUAUUUGACAGCUCAUCAACAGAUCAAACUGAGAGUUUCAUUGACUGUAUCUGUAGGCUUCCCAAUAUGGAGCACCUGGACCUGUCUUUUAAUGGUCAUCCUCUUAUUAGUAUACCACAAAGUGCUAGCUGCCUCCAGAAGCUGGUCCUUCAAAACUGCAGCCAUGUUUUUAGGCUUCCAGAAUGUGUGGCUAAAAUGGACUGUCAAAGCCUUUUUGGCUUGUUGCCAAUGUUUUCUGUAACUGUCGAGGAUAGUAAAUGUUACACCAGCCUUGGCUUGCUUGAGCAUGUAAAUCCUGACAAGCUGUACAUCGACAAACUUGAAAAUGUGAAGUCCCGAGAAGAGGCACGCAGUGUAAAAUUGAUUGAAAAACAGAGGAUUGAAGAAUUGACAUUAAAGUGGACGCCAAAAGGGAAGAGAUCUGUGGAUGACAUGGAGUUGUUGACAGAGCUAGUGCCACCGACCGCUUUGCAGAGCUUUGGGAUAUAUGGUUAUAUUAGCGUCAGCUUUCCAAACUGGCUAAUGAGUAUUGGCAAUUAUCUCCCUAAUGUUGUCCGAAUGGAGAUGUUUGAUUUGCCCAACUGCAACAGUUUUCCACCCCUCGCCCAACUACCACCAAAUCUCCAGGUGCUUAUUCUGAAACGCAUGGAAAGCCUGCAAGAAUGGAACACAACAUACUCUAGUGGCGAGGAUGGUGUGAAUGAGCUCGUGUUCUGUAAACUUGAGGAAGUGAUUAUAAAGUAUUGCAGCAAACUGAGGAUAACACCACACCUUCCUAGAGCUGCAUCUUGGUAUAUAAAGGGAAGUGAUAAUGUGCUCAUAUCAUAGGCAGAGAGCGUGUUACACAAUUGUGCUUCCUCAUCUUCUUCUCCAGUAGGAGUUUCUACUAAUCUAACAGUUGAAAACAAGGAGGUGCCUCUGCAUCAGUGGCGAUUGCUUCACCAUCUACCUGCCAUCAGUGAUUUGAGGAUCAAAUAUUGCUGUGAUUUGGCAAGCUCACCAGAGAUCACCUGGGCCCUCCGGUCCCUCAAAUCACUAAUACUAAGGAACUCGGCCCAAACAAAACUGUCCGGAUGGGUAGGUGAGUUGCCAUCUCUUCAGCAACUGGUGAUAAUGCGAUGCAAUAACCUAGAGGAAUUGCCUGAUAGCAUGGGGCAACUUAAACAGCUGCAAUCAUUAACACUAAGUAGCUGUUGUAGCUUGAGACAGCUGCCGCUGUUGUUAGGAGGACUUAUACCUCUCUCAAGAAACUUCGAAUUGGGUAUUGUCCUGCUAUCACGACUCUGCCAGACAGAUACAACAACUCACAAAUCUCCAAGAAUUAGAAAUUCUCAACUGCCCUAACUUAGAGCAGUGGUGUGAAGCAGAGGAGAACAAGACGAAGCUUGCUCACAUAGAACAAAAGAUGAUCGGUUUGCCCUCGAAGAGGGCUGCCAGCCGCCGAUGUUCCCCACUACGGUGGCCCUUGCUGCGAACGAAAAUAAGAAAGGGAUGCUGAAGAAAAGAAAGCGGGGGCGCGAAUCAGGAUUUAGGCUGCUCGAUCGAGUUCUGAUUCAAAACUCUGUAGUAAUUAUACCACGUGGUUCUAACCUACUCCUGGUAUGUAAAUCUACAUGCCCUGAAUUAAAAAAAAUCUCUAUCGUAUUCCAAGCAGACAUAUAAGAAAUCAAAGUGUGGGGAUAAUUGCAUGUUACCUCUGUCAGUAGAUAUUGUGCUACUUUGUUAUCUGCUCCCUUGACAAAGAAAAUAUGAUUCAAGUCUCUCGGAAAGAGCGCUUCUUGCUUGGUUAUUAGUUCUGUAGUCAGAGAUCUUUAGCUGUUUGCCUUCCUCUACUCUGCAAGUAGGCAAAAUAGUCUG
This 4493-nucleotide ribosomal RNA is filed under the name Triticum aestivum (bread wheat). Its description in RNAcentral is "partial small subunit ribosomal RNA". Lineage: Eukaryota; Viridiplantae; Streptophyta; Magnoliopsida; Poales; Poaceae. The record is from RNAcentral.